Molecule: ribosomal RNA, 499 nt
Filed under: uncultured bacterium
Lineage: Bacteria
Description: partial 16S ribosomal RNA
Rfam family: Bacterial small subunit ribosomal RNA
Source: RNAcentral
GACGAACGCUGGCGGCGUGCCUAAUACAUGCAAGUCGAGCGGACUUUCAAGAAGCUUGCUUUUUGAAAGUUAGCGGCGGACGGGUGAGUAACACGUGGGCAACCUGCCUGCAAGACGGGGAUAACUCCGGGAAACCGGGGCUAAUACCGGAUAAUAUCUUCCUUCGCAUGAAGGAAGGUUGAAAGGCGGCGCAAGCUGCCGCUUGCAGAUGGGCCCGCGGCGCAUUAGCUAGUUGGUGAGGUAACGGCUCACCAAGGCGACGAUGCGUAGCCGACCUGAGAGGGGGAUCGGCCACACUGGGACUGAGACACGGCCCAGACUCCUACGGGAGGCAGCAGUAGGGAAUCUUCCGCAAUGGACGAAAGUCUGACGGAGCAACGCCGCGUGAGCGAAGAAGGUCUUCGGAUCGUAAAGCUCUGUUGUCAGGGAAGAACAAGUACCGUUCGAACAGGGCGGUACCUUGACGGUACCUGACCAGAAAGCCACGGCUAACUACGUG